UAAGAGUCCUACUCGACAUUUUGAAAAUUAAUUCCAGAGUUGGCUAGUUAUUUUGCGCCUGGAGACCAGGCAGGCGCCAAUGGAGUAGAUCCACUAGCGUUGCGGAAGCGGUGAGACAUUGCAGACGUGAAACGCAUGACAAAGAUGGCGACCGAUCAGACGACUGAUCAUGUAAAUGGGAAUAGUACAGAGGAACCAAUAGACAUAACUGAAGUGGACACAACUACAGCUGAAGUUAUCCAUUCAGACAAUUUCCAGACUUUAUUAGAUGCUGGUUUACCACAGAAAGUUGCAGAAAAACUAGAUGCAAUUUACAUAGCAGGCUUGGUAUCGCACAGUGACCUAGAUGAAAGGGCUAUUGAAGCAUUGAAAGAAUUUAACGAAGAAGGGGCUCUACAAGUCCUGCUUGAAUUUAAGGAAAGUGAUCUGUCGCACGUGCAAAACAAAAGUGCCUUCCUCUGUGGAGUAAUGAAGACUUAUAGACAGAGGGAGAAGCAAGGAACCAAAGUUUCAGAUUCCACGAAAGGACCAGAUGAGGCGAAAAUAAAAGCUCUGCUUGAUAGAACCAUCUAUACACUUGAUGUGACAACGGGUCAGCGGAAGUAUGGAGGCCCCCCCCCAGAGUCUGUGUAUUCAGGUGCUCAACCCACUAUUGGAACAGAGAUAUUUGUUGGGAAAAUUCCUCGAGACUUGUUUGAGGAUGAGCUGGUGCCCCUCUUUGAGAAGGCGGGACCUAUCUGGGAUCUACGUCUAAUGAUGGACCCCCUGAGUGGCUUGAACAGGGGCUACGCCUUUGUCACCUUCUGCACUAAAGAGGCUGCCUCGGAGGCUGUAAACCUGUGUAAUAAUCAUGAAAUACGCCCCGGCAAACACAUUGGAGUGUGUAUAUCUGUUGCCAAUAACCGGCUGUUCGUCGGCUCCAUCCCCAAGAGUAAAACGAAAGAACAGAUUGUGGAGGAGUUUGCUAAAGUCACAGAGGGUCUUAAUGAUGUCAUACUGUACCAUCAGCCAGAUGACAAAAAGAAGAACAGAGGUUUUUGCUUUUUGGAAUACGAGGACCAUAAAACUGCUGCUCAGGCCAGACGCAGGCUAAUGAGUGGCAAGGUGAAAGUGUGGGGGAACGUGGUUACUGUGGAAUGGGCAGACCCCAUCGAGGACCCAGAUCCAGAGGUUAUGGCCAAGGUCAAAGUUUUGUUUGUCCGAAACCUUGCGAACAGUGUUACGGAAGAAAUACUUGAAAAAUCCUUCGGCCAGUUUGGUAAACUGGAGCGAGUGAAAAAGCUGAAAGAUUACGCCUUCGUUCAUUUUGAUGAGAGGGACGCUGCAGUCAAGGCGUUGGCUCAAAUGAAUGGCAAAGUUCUGGAAGGAGAGCGCAUUGACAUAGUCUUUGCAAAGCCCCCUGAUCAGAAGAGGAAGGAACGCAAAGCUCAGAGACAAGCAGCCAAAACAAACAUGUAUGAUGAUGAUUAUUAUUACAACUACGGCCCCCCUCAGUUGCCCCCUCCCACAAGAGGCGGCCGGGGUAGGGGAGGUUAUUCUUACCCACCCGACUAUUAUGGCUACGAUGAUUACGAUGAUUAUUAUGGUUCUGAUUAUCCCAACUACCGCGGGGGAUACGACUAUGACUACGACUACUACGACUACUACGGCUAUGAUGACUUUCAGGCUCCCGCUAGAGGAAGAGGUGGCAGAGGUGCACGGGGGGCAUCCCCAGCCAGAGGUAGGCCAGGCACUCCCAGGGGAAGAGGUGGCUUUUCCCCGCGUGGUGGUCCAGGAUCAAGCAGAGGAGGUGUGCAACAGAGAGGCCGUGGUGGGCAGGGAAAAGUGGUCGAGGCCGGUCCUGACCUGUCACUAUGAAGACUGACCUGCUAUGUGGGGUUAUACUGGAAGCUGCCAAUUGAAGUGAUGGUAAGGUGAACUCAAUGGUCCAAUGAUAUUCCAACUUUACAGGAGCAUAUCUGCCAGAUUAGAAGAUAAUCAAAAGGGCAAACUCAAGACACUUGUUGCUUGGACUUUUUAGACCGUUGCUGCAAAUAGAGUUUUCACACCUCUGAACCUCUCAAAGCUAACGAUCCAGGUCAUAUUCUGCGCAUGUUAUUUUAUGCACACUUUGUAGCUGCUGCUCACACUCCCCUCCCAUUUUUCUUUUUACUCACCCUCUUCUGGACCAUGCUGAUGUAGUCUAUGGCUUUCUCAUAUUUCUGAACAGCUGAAAUAACCCCAAAGUAUUUGAUCUAACAUUCCCCCAAAAUAUAUUAAGGCUAUUACAACCAUUGUCUGUUGUAAUGGAUAUUGCAGUUGCACAAGCAGGAUGCAGUCCUUACACAUUCAUUCCAUUGGAGAAAAAACAGUCAAGUUUUUGUGUGAAGUAGGCUAAUGCUUUAUAGUCAUAUCGUAGCCACUAGCCAGAGUUCCUGGCGGCGGCGGGGGGGGGGGGAACACUACUACUUUGACUGCCUGUCUGCCUCCUGCUUAGCCAAUGCUUGUGAUGAGAAAAUAACAUUAAAUCGCUAAUUAGACUGCGUCUCUGUGUCUUGCUUGUGUUUCAUAUGCUGCCUAAAUAGCUGCAUAGAACUAGAACUCCCCACUUGAGUUUUGCUUUGGGGCAAAAAAUGAUCUGCGUUUCAACCACACCCAGACCCUACUAACUACUAUUUUGCUUUUCAAUGAUAAUGCAAGUACUGCAUGAGUAAGCGUCCUAGCUGUUCCAACUCUGGACAGGUGAGCAUGUAUUUUGACCCGUAACCAGUGUCUGACAAUGGGCGAGUGUUUUGCAUCGCCCGGCGUGCUAUUAUUGCUUGUGUCAUAUGCUGCCAUAUCGAUGAUUGCUGGAAAAAAUAACUAUAGCCAAUGUUUGCGAUGAGAAAAUAAUAUUAAAUCACUAUUUUGACUGCCUGUGUGUCUUGCUCGUGUUUGAUAUUCUUGCCUAAGUAGCUGCAUGUUAACUCAGCAGCUAAAAAGAACAUGGACUUGCUAGACUGCUUAUGUUUGCAACAGACAACUGUUCCAACCGACACAGUUUGUACAAAGCAUGAUGGCUGCAUGUAACACCCCUCCUGAAAAUAAUUACAUGAAGUCACGCUUGAGGCAUGGAAAGCAUAGUUUGAACAUGUUGACCAUGUCUUAAGCAUAGACAAAAAAAACAUAUGUAUAUAGUGUAGGCUACAACAUUAAGUGGAAGCAGCAGUGGAACACUGAGCAGACACUACUGUGGGCAGCAAGUUACGUAAAAAAAUAAAUACUGCACAUGUGCAGAAAGCUCAUUAUCCACGGCAAGUGUGGUUCCAGAAAAUCCAAAUCCAAAACCACAGCCAUGCCAUUGUUAUUAUAAGCUUGCCACCUCCCCCAUGUCUCCAAGGAAUAUGCCAUUUUAAAAUGACUAUUGAAGAUGUUGAGUUCCCAGUGGAAUGUUCAUCCCAAAAUGUAGUUAUGCCUUUUGCACUUUGUCUAAGUUUGAAGUGGCUCAGAGGAGCUUGACACCAAUGUAUAUUUUGAUGCAUAAUGCAGCUUUACAAUGGAAUAUACCUAUUUAAUUCUGUUUUGGUUGGUUUUAAUAUAAUGUUUAGGAGGGUUUUAGGUUUAACCAACUGGCAUAACGGUCAGGCAUUCCAGGAAAGUGGUUAUUUUCAGAACUUGUCUUUAAAGGGUCGGUUAAAUACCUCAGUACAGAGGAUAAAACUGCCCUGUCUACUGUAAGUAUGGAAACGUAAUUGAUGAAAGCAGGGCUUGUUCCAUGUAGUUUGUUUAUUAUAGGUGCUGCAUGCUGUUAUUCUAACACUGCCAACAGUCAAACUGAGCAUGUUAAAUAAUCUCAUAUAAUGAGCGAAUGAACAAACCUGGCUUUCAUAUGGUUUGAACUGCAUUGGCUAUGUGCUUAUUCAUAUAAUGUAGUUACAGGUUGUAUAAUAGUUUAGGAAAAUGGUACUUCUUGUAAAAGCUUGAAGGAAAGACAUGCUUUUUUCAGAAGCAUUGCAGUGUCCCUUUUUCUUUCUGGGAUAGGAUAGUAAGUAUUUUGUAUAUGAUCCAUUCCUUUUGGUUGCCUGGAAACCCAAUGUAGCAUUAUAUGCCACUCAACAUUGGGUUUUCAGGCAACCCAUUUGGAAGGUUGCAUACACAUUUAAGUUUGAGAGACAUCGGUCUACUUUGUGUACAGAAAUUUGCCUAAUCAUGAUGUACAACAUGAAUGUCGAUCGUGACAUCUAUGAGCUGCCUUUUUGUCACGUGACAAGUCUUGAAUCUGCAUCAGGUUGAGCAUGUAAUUUAGUAUCGGAGUUAGCUGGAUAUGACUUGGUAAAUCCAGUUCAAAUGGGAUACUGAAGUUUAAAUAAAAUAAAAAUAUGUAUUUCCUGGAUCGCAUAAAGGAGACAACUUAAUCAGGUUUUGUACACCGUUGACUCUGAAGCUGUUACCAGUUUAAACAGUUGUUGGUGGCUAACAAUUGUUUUUGCAUUCUUGCAAAUAAAUUGUUUUAUACUGUUAAGUGAGGCGCGUGUAAUUUAUUUUUAAAAUAAAGGUCUUGAUUUUCAUCACUGUCUUAAAAUAUAAAAAUAUAUUUGAUCAAUUUAUGACUAUUCGUCCAACAUAGUUGUAUACAUUUAAAUGUAGAUGUUAUGGAAUAACGCAAACAAUUCAACAUUGUGCUUUGUGCACCACACCUUCGUAUGGAAUUUACGGCAAUGGUAUGAAUUUAAUUUCACUAAAGUGUUACUUUCAAACGUACUAUUUCGUUUAGGAAAUGAAAUAGUUUAUGAAUGACAAGCAAUUACCAGUUGAGACUACAGUACUAAAGAUUUUCCAGUAGCUUCGCCUAUCCCUCCCUCUCUGGGCUACUGGCACUUCCUGUGGUGAGGAUUAGAACCGGAAGUGACGACCAUCGGAUUAAGGAAACUCGAUCUGUCAAGGAAAUCACAAUACUUUCUGAAAUGGGAAAUAACAAAAGUGCUAACCAUAAUUAAAAGGAAGAUCUAUCGUUGAAUAAAUUAGAAAACAAUGUGAAACCUGAACAAAUUUAUGACAUGGUUCGCUGUUUGAAGUACUAAUUGAUGGGAUUAUAUUGUGUAUUAACCCCAUUGUAAAAUGGAACGUAUUCGAGUUUAUUUGGAGAAUCUGAAGCAAGGACUGCAAAUUGAUGUCCUGAGGGAAGUUGGACGUCAAUACCCUGUCUUUUGCUUUCUUCUGGUUUUCAUGCUUUCAUCAACUAUACUUCUUAAUAGGUAUCUCCACAUUCUGAUGGUGUUUUGGUCCUUCCUGGCUGGAGUGAUUACAUUCUAUUGCUCCCUCGGCACAGAAUCCCUCCUGCCCAACAUCCUCUUCACCAUGAAGCCCAAGAACAAACAGCAGGAGCAACAGGAGCUGUUUCCAUUGGGACACAGCUGUGCAGUGUGUGGAAA
Molecule: non-coding RNA, 5390 nt
Organism: Oncorhynchus mykiss (rainbow trout)
Lineage: Eukaryota; Metazoa; Chordata; Actinopteri; Salmoniformes; Salmonidae
Source: RefSeq, a predicted model, not a curated record